CGGUGCAUCCGUACAGCAAGCAGCACAAAGAGAACUCCGAGCUAAUCUAAAAAAAAAUUCACACUUUCCCAUCAGCCUCUUCCGGCUGACAUGAAGUGAUUGGUUUAGUGAUUGUGACAUCAACAUCCUGUGAGUAUGAGUCACACUGUGAAAGAGCCUUCCAGAGGAACAAAAAAAAAACACUAAUACGAUAAACAACUCACAACGCGUUCUCAUGCCUCCUAACAUUGUGACCAGAUGCUCUGCAACUAUGUUUAGAUCUGUUGGAUGAUGUGAUGAAGAGGACACUCAGAGUUACGUCCUUCCUCCAGAGUCAAGAGACCACUUUUUUACCAAUGUCAGGACAGAGACGAGGAGGAGGGAGAGCGUGCUGAUGAAGAGAUGCUGCAAGGAUUUCUGGUUUCUGAUUUCAUUCAGUUGCUUUCAGUUUUCAUCAUAUAGGAUGCUCUCAGACGUCAACCAUCUCAAAAUGUCAUUAUCUGUAUGCAAUAUUCAGGGUAUAUACUGUACUUACUCCUAGCUUAAUAUCUGUAUUCAUGGCUAGCUUUAAAAUGUACAAUAUGUAACAAUUUACAUGUAUUAAUCGCUUUGUAUUGCCAAUGUGUGAACAGAUUGUAAUGUAACUUAAAAACUGAGACCUUCCCCGAUUUUCUCGGUUGCCUAUAACAGCCUGUGGACUGAUUUCUAUGUAAAGGACUCGGGACGGUUUUGCUUCGUAACGUUAGCUGAUGAAGUAAUUUGCAAAUGGUAAGUUAUUAGUAUCGGAGACAGUG
Long non-coding RNA from Sebastes umbrosus (honeycomb rockfish), 773 nucleotides. RefSeq lists it as uncharacterized. The record is from RefSeq and is a predicted model, not a curated record. NCBI's taxonomy places the organism in Eukaryota, Metazoa, Chordata, Actinopteri, Perciformes, Sebastidae. The transcript has 3 exons.